UACGGGGGGGGCGAGCGUUGUUCGGAAUUACUGGGCGUAAAGGGUGCGUAGGCGGCUUUCUAAGUCGGAUGUGAAAACUCUGGGCUCAACCCAGAGCCUGCAUCUGAAACUGGAGAGCUAGGGUUUUGGAGGGGAAAGCGGAAUUCCAGGUGUAGCGGUGAAAUGCGUAGAUAUCUGGAGGAACACCGGUGGCGAAGGCGGCAUUCUGGACCGACAUUGACGCUGAGGAGCGAAAGCCAGGGGAGCAAACGGG
This 253-nucleotide ribosomal RNA is filed under the name uncultured bacterium. RNAcentral describes it as "partial 16S ribosomal RNA". It matches the Rfam family "Bacterial small subunit ribosomal RNA", at positions 524 to 776 of the family's 1533-position model. The record is from RNAcentral.